RNA transcript from Sapajus apella (tufted capuchin), 1587 nucleotides. It is a transcript of the gene named lipoyl synthase, mitochondrial pseudogene, with no coding region annotated. The transcript has a single exon. NCBI's taxonomy places the organism in Eukaryota, Metazoa, Chordata, Mammalia, Primates, Cebidae. The record is from RefSeq and is a predicted model, not a curated record.
AAUUAACAAUUUGGGGUCCUUUCCCUGCAGUUAGCUAUCCCUCAACCCUUCCACUGCACUAGUCCUAUAAAGGAAAUGUCUCUACCCUGCAGGGAUGCCACCCACACCCUGGGGCUCCGGGUAUUUGGGAGAUAUUUAUGCAGCCCAGUCAGAUUGUUAAGUUCCUUGCCAGAUGAAGAAACGGAACUUUUACAAAAUGGACCAGACCUUCAAGAUUUUGUACCUGGUGAUCUUGCAGACAAGAGCAUCUGGGAUGAAUAUAAAGGAAACCUAAAACGCCAGAAAGGAGAAAGGUUAAGACUACCUCCAUGGCUAAAGACAGAGAUUCCCAUGGGGAAAAAUUACAAUAAACUGAAAAAUACUUUGCAGAAUUUAAAUCUCCAUACAGUAUGUGAGGAAGCUCGAUGUCCCAAUAUUGGAGAGUGUUGGGGAGGUGGAAAAUAUGCCACUGCCACAGCCACGAUCAUGUUGAUGGGUGACACAUGUAUAAGAGGUUGCAGAUUUUGUUCUGUUAAGACUGCAAGAAAUCCUCCUCCACUGGAUGCCAGUGAGCCCUACAAUACUGCAAAGGCAAUUGCAGAGUGGGGUCUGGAUUAUGUUGUCCUGACAUCUGUGGAUCGAGAUGAUAUGCCCGAUGGGGGAGCUGAACACUUUGCAAAAACUGUAUCAUAUUUAAAGGAAAGGAAUCCAGAAAUCCUUGUGGAAUGCCUUACCCCUGAUUUUCGAGGCAAUCUCAAAGCAAUAGAAAAAGUUGCUCUGUCAGGAUUAGAUGUGUAUGCACAUAAUGUAGAAACAGUCCCAGAAUUACAGAGUAAAGUUCGUGAUCCUCGGGCCAAUUUUGAUCAGUCCCUGCGUGUACUGAAACAUGCCAAGAAGGUUCAGCCUGAUGUUAUUUCUAAAACAUCUAUAACGUUGGGUUUAGGCAAGAAUGAUGAGCAAGUAUAUGCAACAAUGAAAGCACUUCGUGAGGCAGAUGUAGACUGCUUGAUUUUAGGACAAUAUAUGCAGCCAACAAAGCGUCACCUUAAGGUUGAAGAAUAUGUUACUCCUGAAAAAUUCAAAUACUGGGAAAAAGUAGGAAAUGAACUUGGAUUUCAUUAUACUGCAAGUGGCCCUUUGGUGCGUUCCUCAUAUAAAGCAGGUGAAUUUUUCCUGAAAAAUCUAGUGACUAAAAGAAAAACAAAAGCCCCCUAAAACUUCAACAAGACCUUCAAGAUCACAGAAAUUUUUAAAAUUUGAUUCCAGUUAAUAACAGAGGUGGCAUCAGAAUGCCUGGACUGUAGUAGAUGUACCCCACUCUUUGCUUUAAAAAAAAAAAGUCAAUAGCCAAGCACGGUGGCUCACGCCUGUAAUCUCAGCACUUCAGGAGGCCAAGGCAGAUUACCUGUGGUCAGGAGACCAGCCUGGCCAACAUGGUGAAACCCCAUCUUCAACUUAGCUGGGCAUGGUGGUGGGUGCCUGUAAUCCCAGCUACUUGGGAGGCUGAGGCAGGAGAAUCGCUUGAACCUGGGAGAUAGAGGUUGUAGUGAGCCAAGAUUGCUCCAUUGCCCUCCAACCUGGGUGACAAGAACAAGACUCUGUCUCUAA